This 412-nucleotide ribosomal RNA is filed under the name uncultured Glomeromycotina. Its description in RNAcentral is "SSU rRNA". It matches the Rfam family "Eukaryotic small subunit ribosomal RNA", at positions 569 to 986 of the family's 1831-position model. Lineage: Eukaryota; Fungi; Glomeromycota. The record is from RNAcentral.
AGCAGCCGCGGUAAUUCCAGCUCCAAUAGCGUAUAUUAAAGUUGUUGCAGUUAAAAAGCUCGUAGUUGAAUUUCGGGGUCAGUAGGUUGGUCGUGCCACCGGUACGUACUGGUCUCACUGAUUCCUCCUUCCUGAUGAGCCGUAAUGCCAUUAAUUUGGUGUUGCGGGGAAUUUGGACUGUUACUUUGAAAAAAUUGAGUGUUUAAAGCAAGCUAACGCUUGAAUACAUUAGCAUGGAAUAAUGAAAUAGGACGUUCGAUCCUAUUUUGUUGGUUUCUAGGAUUGACGUAAUGAUUAAUAGGGAUAGUUGGGGGCAUUAGUAUUCAAUUGUCAGAGGUGAAAUUCUUGGAUUUAUUGAAGACUAACUACUGCGAAAGCAUUUGCCAAGGAUGUUUUCAUUAAUCAAGAACGA